AGUUCUGUUCUGGCCUGUGAAUAAACAAGAACUGUUUGAAGAAUUGCUGUGUUGUCUGAUAUGUUCACCCACAACUUAACAACCUUUACCUUCCUUUGUUACGGAGAUUGGCUGAUUUGCUCUCAACAACUGUCCUUCUGAAUGGAUAGGAAAGACCAGCUAAGGGUGAGGUAAUCUAAGGGGCCCUCCAGUGUGUUUUUGCAGGUAAUAACAUUGCAGGUGUUUGGUUAGGUUUCCAGACCCUUGAUCCUCUUAGUCGCCCUCCUCUGCACAUGUUCCAGCUUCUCAAUAUCCUUCUUAAAUUGUGGUUCCCAAAUUGGACACAGUACUCCAGGUGUGGUCUGACCAAGGCAGAAUCCCUUCAAAUGUUACUGCUUCUGGCAGGGGAUGCCUCUUUUCUGUGACUUCUCCAGGGCCACCUACACUGACUGGCAGCACCUUUCCAGGGCUUCAGCAUGUAAUCUCUCCGAGCCCUACCUGGAGAUGCUGGGGGUUAAAUUUGGGACCUUCUGCAUGCAAGCUCUCCCAAUGAGUUCCUGCCCUCCCCCUAUUGUAUAUUGCAUUUUAUUUUAUUUUGUGAGCCAGCCAGACUGUGGCAUUUGGGCUGCCAAACAAAUACAGGAGGGGAUUGUUGUAGUUACAAGAGAAGCUGCACCUGUUGGAUUUCUUUUCCCUUUUACCCAAGUGCCAAACAUCUAGUAGUCCUCUAAUGGCCUCGAGUUGGCACUUUGAUGCUGCAAUCGUCCUUUGCAAUUCUCACUAACUAAAAACAGGAACCUGAGGUUAUUCGUGUGCCUCUUUAUGUCAAGAACAUUUUGCCCAGUGCUGGAAUGCAGCUGUUGCUGUGGAAGGAAGCACAGUAGACAUUCUGUUUAUGCCAGCAUUAUUGCACAACCGUUAGUUCAGAAGGGAAAUGGAGAAUAUUUCGUCUGUCCAAAAUAAGCUGUGGAAGUAUAGGCAGCCUCAACUAGCUCAUGAUGAAUGUGGUGUAUGUUACUAGUUAACAGGGAGGCUUCGUUGCAUGCUACAUUAGAGAGAGAUUAUCUCAAGAAACCUCCAUGCCAUUUCCAUCACGCUGCAUUUAACAUCUCAUUUGUAACAGUGCUUUAAAAGUAAUCAAAAUCUUGUUGACCUAACUAAGCUUGUCAAAUCUUAAUCCAGAGAUCAGGCCUAUACCAACCAUAAAGAGCUCUGUGACUUGCCAGACUAUGGGUAAUGCCAUAUACACUUUUUAAAAAGCAAACGUGGUUAAGCUGGUCAUUUUUAAUCUGAAGGAAAAGCAGUCAUGUGGGGCCCUGAUCUGGAAUAGCCAGAUAGUUCCAGACUGAAUGGCCUCCCCAGCCAUUCUGCUAUUUGCCCUCCAGGGUGGAACUAGCUAGCAGCUUAUCUUCCAAGUGUGACAUUAUUAUUUCAUAGAAUAAUAGAGUUGGAAGGGACCUGCGGAUCAUUCAGUCCAACCCCCUGCAAUGCAGGAAUUUGCAGCAGCCCCAUACAGGGAUCGAACCUGCAACCUUGGCGUUAUCGGCAUCACGCUCUAACUGAGCUUUAUUGCAUUAAUAGGCCAACUUUUCUUCAAGGAGCUCAAGGUAGCAUAUGUGGUUCUCCUGCUCCUCUUUUUAUCUUGAGAUCAAACCUGUGAGAUUAAGAGUUGGUGAGUGGCCCAAAGUCCCCCAGUGAGCUUCAUGGCCCAUGUGGGGAUUUGAACCCUGGUCUCCUGGUUCCUAGUCCAGCCCUCUAACCAGUGCACCAUGCUGGCAUGCCAGGUUUAUUGCCCGUACUACUAGUUUGUUUUGCUUUUUGCUGCUCCUGUCUCAUCCUGUUCUCACAAACUGAGCAGCAUGAGCGAGCGAUAAGGACAUACCCCCUCAAGUGUCCCAGAUCACAGAAGUCAUUCGUCUUGUUUUUUGGUCUGGCGACGGCAUGUAGCAAAUUAUUUUGUAUGGGAGCAAUUAGACACCAGCCUGUGAGGGCAACUGGGGGAGAUAAUGUGUGUGUGAAUAUCAUGCCUCCCUCCCUAAAUUGGGCAGAAGCUCCCCGGGCUUUGGGAAGGAGGCAUCAGGGGAAGAGUUAGGGGAUUAGCCUAGUCCCCCUAGUCCACUAACUGCACAAUGCUGCUUCAGUGGGUGAAAGCUCAUGUGGCAAUCCCCAUUCCGGGGGGGGGGGGAGUCUCCCUGCACAUAGAAAAAUAGCAAGUCAGGGAUAUGAAUUCUAGCCAGGGCCUGGUGAGGCAAGCUUGGGACAGCUGGGUGGGGCAGCAGAUCGGGCCCACGAGGACAGCGCCACUCGCUGCUUGCCACUCGCCUCCUCUGCCUGCCUCUUCCUCCUCCCUUGCCAACACUGUUGCUGUCAACCCCUGCAUCACCCUCCUUUUUGACCUCCUUCCCCCUCCCCCUUUAUUGGUGUGUGUGUGUGUGUGUCACAUUUUCUAUUUGUAGCAAAACAUUCUGGGCCAGCCCUGAUUCGAGCUAAGUUGUCUCUCCAUUACGCUAGCUUUCUGUGUGCAGGGAAGUCCCUCUUCCCCCACCGCGAACAAAAUCUAAGAUUCCAUUUUAAAGUUCUAGGGGCCAAGAGAAUAUCCAGACCAUGUGAGUCUGCUGCAUGUGAAGAUCAAUCUUAUGUCUGCAGGCUGCAGUAAGGCACAGCAUCAUUAAAUCAUGGAGUAAAGGGCUAUUUAUAAAACACAGAAACCUGCUGUUAUUUUACUUUUUUUACUCCAGGUUACCGCCGUGUGAUUUUCUUGUGGUUCUGGGAUAUUUCUAACAACUUAAAAAUAAAAAUGGGGGGGGGAGAGACACAUGGAGCUAAUGAGCCCACCUCCCCAAAUUGGCUGCUUCUAAAGUUAGGGGAAAGCUUUGUUGGGUUUUUUUAUCCUCCCUGAAGUUAUGUACAUGGGAUAUUUUCAGGUUCUGCAGACAUGAUGACUAAUAUUAGCUUCUAUUGUACAUUGCCCCAGUCUCUUUUAUGUCAAACUGUGAGAAAGCAGUGGCAUUUUUUCCCUCUCAGCUAAGGAAAAAUCAUGUGAACCAUAUUUGCUAUUCCCUUCUGGGCCAUUUGUCUUCCUUUUAUUUUUUAACUCGCAAAAGCCCGAGUAAAAUUAGUUGAUGUUUGAAUGAUAUAUUCAGUGCUUUUUUUCCAUAAAAAAUGUUUAGGGGUACUCUAAUUUUCCUACUCAUAUUGAAAUACUGCUCCUCAAUGAGGCCAAACUUAGAUUCACAAAAUGUUUAGGGGUAUGCGUCCCCCUGCGUCCCCCCAGAAAAAAGCACUGGGUAUAUUUAAAAGAGCUUCCUGCAAAACUCAGCCCCAGAUUGUUUGUGGGUCAAAUGGUAAAGGAUGAGCACGGAUUUGCACACAAUGUACUAAGUCAUGAUUGCAAAAGAAAAGAAGACCGCAGAAGGAAUCACCACCACCCAUCUAGACUUCUCCUCUCUUUACAGCGAUGUGGACAGGAGUCUGAAGUUGGGGAGUCAGGGGCUGUGUCAUGGACUGGCUGGAUGCAGAGGAAUGAUACGAGGCACCAGCUGGGGAACCCCCAAGGGAAGUAGGCUCAGAGCCAGGGAAUUGGUGGUGGGACGACAAAGAGUGGUCAGAGGGAGAAGAGGGAGCCAACUGGGAGGAGGAGGAAGCAUCAGAAGCUGAAGAGGCAACAGGGUUUAGUAAGCAGGGAAAGACUGUGUCAGAGAACAGUCCAGAAUCAGAGACAGAAGUGGAGGCUGGAGAGGAGAGGCAUUGAUGAGUCAGGCUGGUGAAGAAGCCAGGGUGUCUUCCCCUACUGCUGUGACUAACUUCUCUCCCCACUGGUGUCCCAGAACCAGAAGGGGUAUGAAGAAGGAGGAGCACAGACAGGCAUGACGACAACCUCAGAUUGCUUGGGAAGGAUCAAGGGGAGAAGACUUAAGGAACUGUGGGGAAGCGGGGACCCUCAGGCCCCACAACUGCCUCAUAGGGGCAAGAUCUACCGGGAAGAGUUGCUGUACUCACUAGGCCUGGCUUCCUGAGCUGUGUUGUUUUUUGAAUAGAGAGUUCACUUCACUGACACUGUGUGAGUUAUUACCGACCCGCUCCUGGUACCCGCUUCUGACAGACUGGAAGUUCAGACCCAAGAGCAAUCAGGGAUCAGAAAACAAACCACAAGUGGACAGAGAAAAUAUGUUCUCUCUCUCACUCUCAUAACACUGGCUGAACAUUGGAAGAUUCAGGACAGAUAAAAGGGAUUUUCCCCUGCAGCCUAUGUUUGAACUAUGGAGCUGGCUCCCACAGGAUGGCCACCAACUUGGGUGGCUUUCAAAGAGUGGUGGACAAAUUCCUGCAGAACAAGGCUAUCUAUGGCUACCAGCCCAAGAUGGCUAUGUUCUGCCUCCACAGCCAGAGGCAGUAAUGCCUCUGAAUAUGAGUUGCUGGAAAACACAGAAGAAGAAGAAGAAGAAGAAGAAGAAGAAGAAGAGGAGGAGUUUGGAUUUGAUAUCCCACCUUUCACUCCCUUUAAGGAGUCUCAAAGCGGCUCACAUUCUCCUUUCCCUUCCUCCCCCACAACAAACACUGUGUGAGGUGAGUGAGGCUGAGAGACUUCAGAGAAGUGUGACUAGCCCAAGGUCACCCAGCAGCUGCAUGUGGAGGAGCGGGGAAGCAAACCCGGUUCACCAGAUUACGAGUCUACCACUCUUAACCACUACACCACACUGGCUCUUGAGCUUGGGUCCUGCUUGAAGGUUUCCCACAGGCAUCUUGUUAGCCAUUGUGAGAACAAGAUGUUGAACUAUAUGAGCCAUUGGCCUAAUCCAGCAGAUUCUUCUUAUGUUCUUUGGAGUCAAGACCCAUGAGUCAGAAAUGAAAAUCCAAGAGUAAUCGGAAACAGAGGACAUACCAGAAAGCAGAAUGACCAAAGAACGAGAACCCAAGAGUAAGGCCAAUUACGUAUGUCAGAGCUCAAGUAGAUCAUAUUGUGCAGUCAAAGGACACUUUCUAGACUGUCCUUAUUUUGGGAUUGGAUUCAAUUGCAUACUGGCAAAUUCAAGUUGGGCAAUUAUCAUUUCAGAGCCAGUUCUGAAAAGCUGGCAUUCUUAGUUGCUGGAGAUUAUGUUAAAAGCACAGGGCAGGGAGACAGCAAUCUUCCCCACUAAUAUAUCUCUCAAAGGACCGAGAAUAAAAGCGUGAGUUCACACUGGGAAACUGGCAUCUAGGCUUGUCUAGGAAUGGGACACGAGACCCAAGAUAAAGAGACUGGAGCAUUUUGUUCCAGCUAUUUUCCCAAUGUGGAGGCCACACAGAAUUCCAAGCAAAAAUCUUGUCAGAUGUUUGGACUGACAACAAACUCUUUUAAUUAAACAAGCUGCUUCUAAGUGCUUCUUCAUCUUCAGUGAUGACAAACCAAACCCUAUUCGUUUAGUGCUGAGGGUCUCUCUCUCUCUCUCUCUCUCUCUGUAUGUGCUUAAGGAAAAUUUUAGGGCAAUUUUUAGGGCUCAGCCAAUAUCAGCACAGCUCUAAGGCAGACAGCAAGUCUCCUAAAUGGAUGGGUUUGAAUUAGAUUUUAUGCAUUCAUAUUUUUACAUGCACUAAUUAGCAGAAAAAAGACCUGCAAUUCUAUCCACACUUGUCUGAGAGGAAAUCACACUGAACUCAUAGAGAGUAAUAUGUAUACAAGUAUGCUGUAAAACUGCAAUUCUGUGCAUGUUUAUUUAGGAGCAAAUCCUAUUGAACCUCAUAGGGCUAUCUUCUGAGUAAACAUGUAUAUUAAUUUAAAUGCCAGACAUAUUUUGUACAUUCUGCUAGGGUUCUCGAUUUCUGAAGCAGGCUUCUUUCCCUCUUCAUUCCAUAUCAGUAUGCCUCGACUGCAGUUAGCAGGUGGUGAUGUUGCUCUCUACGCCAUUGCUUCCAGUCUGGAUCACUGUAAUUAAGGUGCCCAUGUGCAAAAGAUGAUGGCACCCUUGAUCCCUUAAUAGUUGCAGAGAAUGGGGAUUAUCAGCAGUUAUAUGUAGUUUAAGAUUGCCCUGGAAGACAGUCUAGAAACUUCAAUUGGUUCCAAAGGCUGUGGCCAGAUUUGUGUCUGGAGCUGGUAGGAUGGACCAUAUAAGCCAAUUUAAUGGGCUUCCUAUUUGUUUCCAGGUUCAGUUCAAGGUGUCAGCUUUGGCUCUUAAAUCCCUAAACAGACUGGGACCAGCUGUUGGCAUCUACCUGCCUCAAGAGACAGUGGAGUGCACCUGGGGGGGGGGGCGUUGAAGCCAAACUGCUCUGAGGGCAGCAACUGAAGUGACCUCUCCGGGGCACAAGCCUGGGCAGUGUGGAUGGAGGUUGUUAUGUACUGAAGUUCUCACCCUGGGCCAGCAGGGGGAUACUGUAGUUUUCACUCAGGUCCACAUAUGCAAAUAAGGAAUUGAAAGUGACAUUCAGUGAUUGGAUAGUUACAGAAAGUUGUUACCGUUGCGUUGUAGUGGAGCUCUAUAUAAGCAGGCUGGCUGAAGCCGUCAUUUCAGUUCUGUUCUGGCCUGUGAAUAAACAAGAGCUGGUU
Podarcis lilfordi (Lilford's wall lizard) is the source of this 6502-nucleotide non-coding RNA. Lineage: Eukaryota; Metazoa; Chordata; Lepidosauria; Squamata; Lacertidae. The record is from the annotation of a GenBank genome assembly.